GACGAACGCUGGCGGCGGGCUUAACACAUGCAAGUCGAACGGAAAGGCCCUGCUUGUGUGGGGUGCUCGAGUGGCGAACGGGUGAGUAACACGUGAGUAACCUGCCCUUGACUUUGGGAUAACUUCAGGAAACUGGGGCUAAUACCGGAUAGGAGCUCCUGCUGCAUGGUGGGGGUUGGAAAGUUUCGGCGGUUGGGGAUGGACUCGCGGCUUAUCAGCUUGUUGGUGGGGUAGUGGCUUACCAAGGCUUUGACGGGUAGCCGGCCUGAGAGGGUGACCGGCCACAUUGGGACUGCGAUACGGCCGAGACUCCUACGGGAGGCAGCAGUGGGGAAUAUUGCACAAUGGGCGGAAGCCUGAUGCAGCAACGCCGCGUGCGGGAUGACGGCCUUCGGGUUGUAAACCGCUUUCGCCUGUGACGAAGCGUGAGUGACGGUAAUGGGUAAAGAAGCACCGGCUAACUACGUG
Molecule: ribosomal RNA, 468 nt
Filed under: uncultured bacterium
Lineage: Bacteria
Description: partial 16S ribosomal RNA
Rfam family: Bacterial small subunit ribosomal RNA
Source: RNAcentral